This 253-nucleotide ribosomal RNA is filed under the name uncultured bacterium. RNAcentral describes it as "partial 16S ribosomal RNA". It matches the Rfam family "Bacterial small subunit ribosomal RNA", at positions 524 to 776 of the family's 1533-position model. The record is from RNAcentral.
UACGUAGGGUGCAAGCGUUAAUAGGAAUUACUGGGCGUAAAGCGUGCGCAGGCGGUUUUGUAAGUCUGAUGUGAAAUCCCCGGGCUCAACCUGGGAAUUGCAUUGGAGACUGCAAGGCUAGAAUCUGGCAGAGGGGGGUAGAAUUCCACGUGUAGCAGUGAAAUGCGUAGAGAUGUGGAGGAACACCGAUGGCGAAGGCAGCCCCCUGGGUCAAGAUUGACGCUCAUGCACGAAAGCGUGGGGAGCAAACAGG